Molecule: transfer RNA, 72 nt
Filed under: Camelus bactrianus (Bactrian camel)
Lineage: Eukaryota; Metazoa; Chordata; Mammalia; Artiodactyla; Camelidae
Also listed under: 2 other names
Rfam family: tRNA
About the family: Transfer RNA (tRNA) molecules are approximately 80 nucleotides in length. Their secondary structure includes four short double-helical elements and three loops (D, anti-codon, and T loops).
Source: Rfam by way of RNAcentral
GAGGGUCUAGCUCAUUGGUAGAGCGUGUGUUUAGCAUGCACGAGGUCCUGGGUUCAACCCCCAGUACCUCCC